UUCAGAUCGCCAGGUAUUAUA
This 21-nucleotide microRNA is filed under the name Drosophila pseudoobscura pseudoobscura. RNAcentral's name for it is "mir-2540-RA". Lineage: Eukaryota; Metazoa; Arthropoda; Insecta; Diptera; Drosophilidae. The record is from RNAcentral.